AUGAAUAUGUGAUGAGCUAGCAUACGUGAUGAAUGUGCGAUGAGCUAGCAUACUUGAUAAAAUAUGUGAUGAGCUAGCAUAUGUAAUGAAUAUGUGAUGAGCUAGCAUAUGUAAUGAAUAUGUGAUGAGCUAGCAUAUGUGAUGAAUAUGUGAUGAGAUAUGGGUAAGUCGUACAGGUCACCAUAGGUGACUCCGACUUGCGUGCUAGUAUGAGUUAUUAAUCAUAUGAUUAUUUGAUAUUACUAAUGAGAUGCUGUGUUGUGGUAUAUUUAUGACUUUUCUGGAAAUUAUACAAGUGUGUAGCGAGGGCUUAUAAUUUUUUAUAUGGUUUCUAUUAA
Molecule: long non-coding RNA, 338 nt
Filed under: Malus domestica (apple)
Lineage: Eukaryota; Viridiplantae; Streptophyta; Magnoliopsida; Rosales; Rosaceae
Description: long non-coding RNA (MDOM_LNC012476)
Source: RNAcentral